GAUCAUUACAGAGUUAUCUAACUCCCAAAACCAUGUGAACUUACCUAUGUUGCCUCGGCGGGGAAGCUAACCCGGUACCUACCCAGUAGUUACCCGGGAGGGCCUACCCUGUAGCUACCCUAUAGCGACCCGCCGGUGGACUGCUAAACUCUUGUUUUUAAGUGAUAUUCUGAGUGUUUAAACUUAAUUAGUUAAAACUUUCAACAACGGAUCUCUUGGUUCUGGCAUCGAUGAAGAACGCAGCGAAAUGCGAUAAGUAAUGUGAAUUGCAGAAUUCAGUGAAUCAUCGAAUCUUUGAACGCACAUUGCGCCCAUUAGUAUUCUAGUGGGCAUGCCUGUUCGAGCGUCAUUUCAACCCUUAAGCCUUAGUUGCUUAGUGUUGGGGGCUCGCCUAGCUAUAGACGCUGGCGACCCCUUAAAAAUAUCGGCGGAGUCGUGUCGACCCUAAGCGUAGUAAUUUAUUCCUCGCUUCAGGCUUGUAGGCGCUGGCGUCCGGCCGUUAAACCCCCUAUUUUUUAAUGGUUGACCUCGGAUCAGGUAGGAAUACCCGCUGAACUUAAGCAUAUCAAUAA
This 572-nucleotide unclassified non-coding RNA is filed under the name Cryptovalsa ampelina. RNAcentral describes it as "sequence contains 18S rRNA gene, ITS1, 5.8S rRNA gene, ITS2, 28S rRNA gene". The stretch from base 196 to 349 matches the Rfam family "5.8S ribosomal RNA". Lineage: Eukaryota; Fungi; Ascomycota; Sordariomycetes; Xylariales; Diatrypaceae. The record is from RNAcentral.